This is a non-coding RNA of Triticum aestivum (bread wheat), 135 nucleotides long. Lineage: Eukaryota; Viridiplantae; Streptophyta; Magnoliopsida; Poales; Poaceae. The record is from Rfam.
CAAAUACUCCCAUCGUCCGAAAAUACUUGUCAUCAAAAUGGAUAAAAAGAGAUGUAUUUAGAACUAAAAUACGUCUAUAUACAUCCCCUUUUAUUCAUUUUGAUGACAAGUAUUUCCGGACGGAGGGAGUAUUUA